Long non-coding RNA from Triticum aestivum (bread wheat), 646 nucleotides. RefSeq lists it as uncharacterized. The transcript is spliced from 4 exons. The record is from RefSeq and is a predicted model, not a curated record. NCBI's taxonomy places the organism in Eukaryota, Viridiplantae, Streptophyta, Magnoliopsida, Poales, Poaceae.
GUCCCCAACAAGUCAUCCCCGUCCUGCUCGCCGUCUUCCGCCGAAGAACCCGGCGGCUGUGUCGAUUCUCUGCCUCCCCGACCACCUCUUCCGAUUUUGCGAAGGUAAUGCUUGUUGGAAUUGGAGUCUUUGUUAUCAUUCUUGGUCAAGAUUUUGCACAUAGUUGGAUGCUGGUCAUUUUAGGCGUGGACACACAUGGCCACCUACCGCCCAUCGCCGGGCACCGAGCUUGUUGUCCCGUCAUGCAUCUCGAUGGUGUGCCUCUCAAUUUAGCCUAGGAGAAAAUCAAAUGGUUAAAUAUGGGUUAUGUCCUCUUACACUGAAAGGUUAAUUGUUUUGCACUAUUACAUCUGACAAAGGAAGUCCUGGGUUAAAGGUAAUUCCAUGUCUACUGGUGACGCUCGCGCUGGAAACCAAAGGUGGCAUCUUGGUCUUCUCCAUGCGAACACCACAUCUCCGACGGUGCAGCCAUGGCCCGAGGGCGCCGAGCUGAUCUCCCAAGGCUCCUCGCCGACGCAUGACAAUGCCCACCUCCAUGCUGAUUGAGCUUUUCCACUUGUCAAACAUGAUCAAUUAUCUGUUAUAGAAUUUAUGUUAUCAGUUGUUUGUAGUUGUGCUCUGAAUAGAUGUCCCCUGCUUGUAAUAG